Molecule: ribosomal RNA, 484 nt
Filed under: uncultured bacterium
Lineage: Bacteria
Description: partial 16S ribosomal RNA
Rfam family: Bacterial small subunit ribosomal RNA
Source: RNAcentral
AUUGAACGCUGGCGGCAGGCCUAACACAUGCAAGUCGAGCGAAUGAAGGGAGCUUGCUCCUGGAUUCAGCGGCGGACGGGUGAGUAAUGCCUGGGAAUCUGCCCGGUAGUGGGGGAUAACGUCCGGAAACGGGCGCUAAUACCGCAUACGUCCUGAGGGAGAAAGUGGGGGAUCUUCGGACCUCACGCUAUCAGAUGAGCCUAGGUCGGAUUAGCUAGUUGGUGGGGUAAAGGCCUACCAAGGCGACGAUCCGUAACUGGUCUGAGAGGAUGAUCAGUCACACUGGAACUGAGACACGGUCCAGACUCCUACGGGAGGCAGCAGUGGGGAAUAUUGGACAAUGGGCGAAAGCCUGAUCCAGCCAUGCCGCGUGUGUGAAGAAGGUCUUCGGAUUGUAAAGCACUUUAAGUUGGGAGGAAGGGCAGUAAGUUAAUACCUUGCUGUUUUGACGUUACCAACAGAAUAAGCACCGGCUAACUUCGUG